Molecule: ribosomal RNA, 458 nt
Filed under: uncultured bacterium
Lineage: Bacteria
Description: SSU rRNA
Rfam family: Bacterial small subunit ribosomal RNA
Source: RNAcentral
AGAAUCAACGCUGGCGGCGUGCCUAACACAUGCAAGUCGCACGAGAAAGGGACUUCGGUCCUGAGUACAGUGGCGCACGGGUGAGUAACACGUGAAUAAUCUACCUCCGAGUGGGGAAUAACUGAGAGAAAUCUUAGCUAAUACCGCAUAACACUUACGAGUCAAAGCAGCAAUGCGCUUGGAGAGGAGUUCGCGGCAGAUUAGUUAGUUGGCGGGGUAAUGGCCCACCAAGACGAUGAUCUGUAUCCGGCCUGAGAGGGCGCACGGACACACUGGAACUGAAACACGGUCCAGACUCCUACGGGAGGCAGCAGUGGGGAAUUUUGCGCAAUGGGGAAACCCUGACGCAGCAACGCCGCGUGGAGGAUGAAAUCCCUUGGGAUGUAAACUCCUUUCGAUCGGGAAGAUAAUGACGGUACCGAGAGAAGAAGCCCGGCUAACUUCGCGCCAGCAGCCGC